RNAcentral lists this transfer RNA (69 nucleotides) under Steromphala umbilicaris. RNAcentral's name for it is "tRNA-Arg". Lineage: Eukaryota; Metazoa; Mollusca; Gastropoda; Trochida; Trochidae. The record is from RNAcentral.
AAACAGAAAGUGAAAAAUUUACACGUGGUUUCGGCCCGCUUCUAGGUAGUGCAAUUCUGCCUCUGUUAA